UACGUAUGGGGCAAGCGUUAUCCGGAGUUAUUGGGCGUAAAGAGUGCGUAGGUGGUUACCUAAGCGCAAGGUUUAAUCUUGAGGCUCAACCUCAUUCUGCCUUGCGAACUGGGCUACUUGAGUGCAGGAGGGGAAAGCGGAAUUCCCAGUGUAGCGGUGAAAUGCGUAGAUAUUGGGAAGAACACCGGUGGCGAAGGCGGCUAACUGGACUGUAACUGACGCUGAGGCGCGAAAGUGUGGGGAGCAAACAGGAUUAGAUACCCCGGUAGUCCCUGAG
Molecule: ribosomal RNA, 277 nt
Filed under: uncultured prokaryote
Description: partial 16S ribosomal RNA
Rfam family: Bacterial small subunit ribosomal RNA
Source: RNAcentral